UUAAAACAAUAAAUAUAUCAAAGCUGCAUAAAAAUAGAUAUAACAUUUUACACAACCUGUCCAACAACCCUAUACAUCAUCUCCUGUUUGAUCUCAAUCAAACAGUACAUACCAAAAGAUUACAUAAAACUAAAGCUAAUAAAUAACCAUCCGACAAAGUCUAACUAAUACAUACUUUAACUGACUAUGGACACAGAGGAUAAUGAAUCAAUGUACAUCCUCCC
This 224-nucleotide long non-coding RNA is filed under the name Daucus carota (carrot). RNAcentral describes it as "long non-coding RNA (DCAR_LNC001027)". The record is from RNAcentral. Lineage: Eukaryota; Viridiplantae; Streptophyta; Magnoliopsida; Apiales; Apiaceae.